Molecule: long non-coding RNA, 6569 nt
Filed under: Sus scrofa (pig)
Lineage: Eukaryota; Metazoa; Chordata; Mammalia; Artiodactyla; Suidae
Description: lncRNA (ENSSSCG00035051083.1)
Source: RNAcentral
AUCCUGGGCUUUUGCUCCAGGAACACUGAUAUCCUCUGAGCAUAAUGGGCUUGGUCCCUCUUUGGGUGGGCAUCCAGUGAUCAGUUCCUUGCUCCUUCAGUCUCUUACUCACAAGGCCUUUCACAUCUCCCACCAAGGCCUAUUUGAGCUACAGAGUCACCAAGCCCACUGAGUGUUCUUCUGAAGGGUUCCUUGCCUAGGAUUCUGCUUCCACAGCCAUAACCACAGUCUGGAUUUUCAUCAUCUUGCACUGGAUUUAUAGCAAUUGCUUUCUAACUGGACUCCAUAAGUGAUCCCACACAUAACCCCCCAACUAUUUUUAAGAUAUGUAUAACCUCUCCUUGUACACACACAUGUAUUCUCCAUCAGCCUAAAAAUCUAUAAGGGUUUCCUAUUACCAACCCAUUGCAUUUAAACCUUGUCUGUGAUCCAAGGACUCUAUAUCUAGAAUCAGACCCCUCUCUCACUUGAUAACUUCCUUUUCCUUCCUGUGUGGGUACACCCCCUCUAAAUGGAAAUGCAAAUCUCCUCUGUGCUUCUCAAUUAUAGCUUGCCAAGUCUUACCCUAUAUUGUGGCUCUUACAUAUAACUUUUUUUUGGAAUGUUCCUGUUUCCCUUUAUCAGUUCAAGCUUCUGUUUUCUUUAAAACUUUACUCAAAGCCCCCUUCCUUCAGAAGUUUAUCCCACUCUGAAUAAUACCUUAUUAUAGUGAAAGUAAUAAUUACAUUCUAGCUAUUAAAUAACUAUUGCAUACUAGAUACUCUGCUAAUAAAUGUGCUAUUAUUGUCUUACCCUUGCAAAGACCUAUAGAGGCAAGUAGUAUUUUUCUUAUUUACAGAUGAGGAAACUAAACCUUAGAGAAGUUAAGUCAUAUACACAAGUUCACAUAGUAGGGAAGUGCCAGAGUUGAGAUUUGAAAUCAUUGCUAUCAGGCCCUAAAUUUUAUACUCUUCCUUCCUAGAAUAUCAUGUAACAUGUGUACAGUUUUGUUUAAGAGUUUUCCUUGAAAAUGUUUUCUUUAAACUAUGGAAUAUUUUUCAAGGGCAAAAUAUGGUGCCUACUGAUACUAGUUAGCCAACAACUAAAACUCUCUCUAGCUACCAAGGAGAAAAUCUGUUAGCUGGAUCAAUACAGAAUUAUCUGAAAGCCUGUAGAACUAGGCUCAGAAAACCAGAAAGACCAAAGCAAAGUAAGGCAAAGAGACAUAUAGCCAAGGUCCUUGCCCCAGGAAUAGUCUGGUGAGAAAGCUACUGAGAACACGACAGCCCGGUUGUUUGAUGGCACCCCUGCUGAAUGAAUGACCUCUCUCGCUAUUCCUCCUCCCUCAAUCAUUCCCUCUGGAUUACCUCAUGGCUGAGCCAGAGCAGGGACCAGAGAAGAGGAUGUCUCACUUCUUUAAGCUUCUGAAGAAAUAAGUGGAGGGCCCUGUAUCCACAAAGACUUACUCUAGGACGGUUGUGAGAGUUUGGAUUUUUAUCUCAUAAAUAUUCACUUUUUUUUUCCUUUCCUUUAUGGGCUUAGCCAUGCAACUUGCUUUGACCAAUGGGAUAUUAGCAGGAGUGACUUGAGCAAAGGCCUGAAAUAAUCUACAUCGUGAGCCUUGCCCUCUAGGCUGCCACCAUUGCCAUGAAAAGGACAUGCCAGGAGAAGCAGCCUGAAUCCCAGAAUGAGGACCUGUGAAGCUGAACCCCCACCCCCACCCCAGCUGACCCAUGGUCCCACAGUCAAGACAGAGCUGCCCCAGCUGAGCCACAGAUUGAUGACAACGAUUCACAGGAGCCAGUGGAGGAAGCCAAGUCCCCAGAAGAUGGUAGAACCACAUCUUCUAGGAAAGAACCUGGAUCCCUAAAUAACUAUGUGGAACAGAGCCCUUGCUGCAACUUGCAAUUAACUGUGAUAUUAGCAAGUUAUACUAGUUAAGUAUACUAAGUUAUAUAUAUACUAUGUUAAGUCUUCAAGGUUGUUUGUUGCAGUCAUUAGUAUUAUUUGCCCUAGUUAAUACAUGGUCAGAGAUUAUUAGGUAGGGAAUAACAGACUUUCUCUAAUUAUGUAAAUUAAAUAUUCAUCUACUUCAGUUUUGAUGUUUGGAUCUUUUCAUCUUCCCAGUUCUGAAACCUAUCUUAGUCAUUAGCAGUGAUUCUGGCCAAGGGUGGGGCUGGUGGAAGAUAGAGGCAUCAGGGUAGAUGGAGCCCUCAGACCCAAAUCUUUAUAAAAGCUACACAUCUCAUUCUUUGCCUUCUCUUGCCCAAUACCUGAUGAAAACUUAGAAAGCAGAGCUAAAGUAAAAGGUGAGAGCAGAAGAGAAACAAUGGCAAUGACACCUAGACCAAUUUUUCCUUGGAUUGACCCAGAAUUGAUGGAAUGAGGGAGGCUUAGAUGUUGCUGCCUAUGCCUAUGUAACAUCCAGAAUUUUGCUGCCUUCAUACCCUGAACACAAAAGCUAGCCAGCCACAGGCUAGAGAUGUUACCAUGUUAAGGGCAAGACUAUAGAAUUCUUGCCCCUGCAGAAUAAGCCGUCAUUGAGGAAAGACCAUAGAUAGUAGCAGGACAUUCUCUGCUCUGGAGAAGACAGAGUCACUUUCCGCAUAGCAUAAGGGGCUCUACAUUCAGGAGAGGCUGAGAAAUCAUGGUGAUGAGCUGAGUUAAAUAAAUGGGUGGCAAACAUCUGACUCUCAUUUGUAAAUGAUUCUUGAGCAAGGAUUGCAAACUCAAAGGCCUCCCCAAGGCUAGGCUUGGACAGGAAAUACAAAUGUGUAAAGAAUGUGAGGUGUUUUCCUUUGUAUGUUAGACUUGGUUUUUUACUUCCCCACUUUCUAUAGAAAUGUGGACUCGGGAAUAUUUCACCUUCCUCUAUAUUUUAAGGAAAACAUCCACACACACACAAAAAUGAAAAUGGCAGCGAUGCACUCAUUUCCGUAGGGAGGCAUUAAGGAGUAGCAGAGGCUGUGGCAAAGUAAAGAGCACACGACCUCCUGAUGUAGCAGGUCCUGCCCUGGGGACCAGCAGGAUUUAAUCUAUCUGGGAUGAUGAGCCCAACAUUUCUGAAUCUUUAGUUUUUUUCCAUAAAAUCUGGACAUAGAAAAUACACUAAACUAUUUUUAUGUGAUACCAUAUAUAUAUAUAUAAGACAUUAUGUGAGCUAAUAUUUUGUAGGUGAAACAGAACAACUCUAUAGAUUUGAUUGAGCUGAGAAGCUGCCCAUUUUCAACCUCUGCCAUACAAGCUAAUCCAGCCUUAGUGACCUCCAUUUCUUGGUAAGGGUGCAGAUAAGGUGAAAGAAAACUGGAAAUAUUCCUUCUCUACAAAGUUCCUAGGACCAGUUUUAUGAUCUGGAACUUGUGUGACUAUAGCAGCUCAAAAAAUGUAAUGCAAGUCAUAUACAUAAUUUCAAGUCUUCUAGAAGCCACGUGAAAAGACUAAAAAGAAACAGAUACAAUUAACUUUAGUAAUACAUCUUAUUGAGCACAAUAUAAUCAAAAUAUUUCAAUGACAUGUUUUACACUCAUAUGUUUUUACUAUAUAUACUUUUUUGAAAUCCAUACUUUUUUAUCCUUCAGCACAUGAUACUUUAGACUAGCCACAUGUCUAGUGUUCAGUGGCCACAUGUGGCUGCUGGCUUCUGUAUAAGAUAAUACAGGUCUGGUGCUGCUUUAGGAGGACAUUAUACCUGGGGUUUGAACAAACAACUCACAGGAAUCAUUGAAUGCAGUUCUUUCAAAGUGUGGUCAUUCACAAUAAAGAUUUCUGAGAUCUCACCUUCAAAGGCUGUGAUUUGGAAGCUCAGAGAUUAAGGCCGAGAAAUUGGCAUUGUUAAUGGGCAAUCCCAUUGGUACCAAGACAAGGUGAAAUUUGAGAAACACUGCCUUCUGGCCAUGGCAUAGACUUUGUUUUGUAUUUAUUAAUGUCUUUUGGCCUGAAUAAUUUUAUCAACUCAGAAUAAACCAGAAGUUGAUUAUUGCUAUGGAAUCAGAGCCAUGGUUGCUAUCAGCCAAUAAUUAUUAAAUCUCUCUUCCACCUGUGCAGUCUGAAGCACAUCAGGGCAACUCUCCCUCCUGGAAUAGAUUCUCCAUCUGAAACAAAAGCGGUGGCCCUCACCUAGUGCAUUGCUCCUCUUGGGGAUAAACCCUCUAUAAAUGGAAGUUUUGAGGCUGCCCUUUCUCUCUUGGAUUCAUCAUUAUGGUUUCUGAGCUUCAAAUCUUGACUUUUUUUUUUUUUUUUUAUAUUUGGUGGUGCCUCCAGGAUACAGAAUUUCCUGGGCCAGGCAUCCAAUCCGAGCUACAGCAAUGACAAGGCCAGAUUCUUAAUGGCUGGGCCACCAGGGAACUCUACCAUUGUUUCAUUUGGACUGCAAAUGGACAGGGCUACAUUUUAGUUGCUAUGCCUAGAUUCCCUGGUAUAUUUCUCCACCUGGAUAUUUUUGACUUGGUACAAGAUGUGGAAGGACAUCAGAUGACCAAGAGCCCCUGUGUGACCAAACUACAGAGGUGGAGUCCCAGAAUCACUCUGCCCAGCCCCCCACGCACGUUCCUGCUGGAAGCUUACAGCCAAAUUUCCAGGCCUGCCCAUACAGCGCUUUCUUUGAGGGUGGAGGAUUCUGGUAUCCCCUUUAUCCUGGGACGUUCAGAAGCUUUACCAACUAUUUGAAAGUAUUACAGCACAGUAUCUUAAGCAAUUUUUUAAAUGCUUUGUCACUAAUUCCCCAGGGAGAGAUGACAGGUGAUUUUAAAUAUUUGACAGUGAGGGAAAUGAAAUCUGCCUGAGCCCCUGCCGGUGGUGGAGCAGGGGGAGGAAGCAGCGUUGGCAGCAAAGGGACCGGUUCCAGGGGUGCUGUGGGGGAGGGGGAUGCAGCCCUGGAUGUUGGCCUGCUCCUUCCACUUUCCUCCUCUCUCCCCUCCCCCUCUUCCUGUUGCUACUCCUACUUCCUGUUAUUAUGUAUCUUCCUGUCAGUUUCCCCGUGGCGCCCCACCCCCUACCCCAGUCAGGUCACAGGAAAUCUAAGCUCCUGAAAGACAAUUCUAUGAUACUAAUUACAUGUCUGGAAAAUGAUGCCCCAGUCUGCAGGUGGUACCCGCUAACAGCAAUCACUAUUACUAUUAUUAUUGUUAUUGUUAUAUUCUCACUGUAGCUUUCCAGGACUGAAUUAUCUUCCUUUGGUUUUGUUGCCAGGCUUUGUGUGCCUUCAUUUGCUUUUUGAUAAGGCAUUUUUCUUAUUCCUGUAUGCCUCCCUUUUUAUUCUUUACCCAGAGUUAAAUGUAGCCAAAAGAAUGCUCAGAUAGAUUAAGAGGCUCAGGAAAUAAAAGGUUGCUUUCAAUCCAAGCAGCAUUGAGUGACAGAAAUAUUAAUGAAAGGUGUGACAUUUUAAUGAUGUUCACACAAAUAUUUGAGGGCCUAUUAUGUGCCAGGCACUCCUCCAGGUUCUGCAGAUACACCAGUGAAUAGGACUGAAAAAAGUCUGUCCUUCUACUGCAGGAGGCAGACAAUAAAUAAGUUAUAAGCAAAACAUGUACCUGAGGUGAUAAAUGCCAUGGGAAAGGAGGGAGAGGGCAAGAGAGGGCUGGUGGGUGGUUGCGAUUUUAAUUAAGGUGUUUGGUAAAAACUUACUAAGUGACCUUUGAGCAAUGUUGACACCUUGGGACUUAAAAAACUCUUUUGCUUAGUAAAGCUUAUAAAAAAUGAUAGUAGAUGGACUUUAUAGUCUUAAAAUGUCACAUAUACAGUCGCUAAAUAUAAGCUUGUUCCUGGAAGACACCACCCCACUCUUGGAUUUUAUGACUUUGACCAUUUUAGCUCUCUAACGUCAAGUGGAGUAAUGCAGUAUUUAUUUUUUCUGUGACUGACUUCUUUUCCUUAGGAUAAUGCCCCCUACAUCCAUCCAUGUCACAAAUGGCAGAAGUUCCUCCUUUUUUAAGAAAGAAUAAUAUUCCACUAUAUGUAGCUGCCAGUUACUUUAUUCAUUCAUCCGUUGAUGGACAUUUAUGUUGUUUUCACAUCUUGGCUAUUGUGUAUAAUACUGCAAUGAACGUGUAAGUGCUAAUAUCUCUUUGAGAUCCUGUUUUCAAUACUUUUGGAUAACUACCUAGAAGUGGGAUUGGUGGGUCACCAGGUAGCUCUAUUUUUAAGUUGUUGAGGCUCUGUCAUACUGUUUUCCAUAGAAACUGUAUAACUUUGCAUUCCCAUCCAUAGUGUACAAGGAGUUUCUUUUCUCCAUAUCCUCACCAACACUUGUCUUUUUGGGGGGGGGGAAUAAUAGGCAUCCUUACAGGUAUGAGGUGAUAUCUCAUCAUGGUUUUGCUUUGCAUUUCUCUGAUGAUUAGUGACAUUGAGCAAUCUUUUCAUAUACCUAUCAGCCUUUUGCAUAUCUUUCUUGAAGAAAUGUUUACUCAAAUUCUUAGUCCAUUUUUAAAUCAGGUGGUUAGGUUUUUUGCUUUUUGCUAUUGAGUUGUAAAAGUUUAUGUAUUUUAGAGAUUAAGCCUGUAUCAGAUAUAUAAUUCACAAAUAUUUUCUCCUAUUCUGUGGGUUGCUUUUUCACUGUCAAUUGCUUCUUUUUCAAUAAAAAAAAUUUAAAUUAA